UACGUAGGGACCUAGCGUUGUCCGGAUUCAUUGGGCGUAAAGGGUGCGUAGGCGGCUUUCUAAGUCGGAUGUGAAAACUCUGGGCUCAACCCAGAGCCUGCAUCUGAAACUGGAGAGCUAGGGUUUUGGAGGGGAAAGCGGAAUUCCAGGUGUAGCGGUGAAAUGCGUAGAUAUCUGGAGGAACACCGGUGGCGAAGGCGGCUUUCUGGACAAAUACCGACGCUGAGGCACGAAAGCUAGGGGAGCAAACAGG
RNAcentral lists this ribosomal RNA (253 nucleotides) under uncultured bacterium. RNAcentral's name for it is "partial 16S ribosomal RNA". It matches the Rfam family "Bacterial small subunit ribosomal RNA", at positions 524 to 776 of the family's 1533-position model. The record is from RNAcentral.